CAUGCAAGUCGAACGGUAAGGCCCCUUCGGGGGUACACGAGUGGCGAACGGGUGAGUAACACGUGGGUAAUCUGCCCUGCACUUCGGGAUAAGCCCGGGAAACUGGGUCUAAUACCGGAUAUGAGCUCUCACCGCAUGGUGGGGGUUGGAAAGUUUUUCGGUGCAGGAUGAGCCCGCGGCCUAUCAGCUUGUUGGUGGGGUAAUGGCCUACCAAGGCGACGACGGGUAGCCGGCCUGAGAGGGUGAUCGGCCACACUGGGACUGAGACACGGCCCAGACUCCUACGGGAGGCAGCAGUGGGGAAUAUUGCACAAUGGGCGCAAGCCUGAUGCAGCGACGCCGCGUGGGGGAUGACGGUCUUCGGAUUGUAAACCCCUUUCAGUAGGGACGAAGCGCAAGUGACGGUACCUGCAGAAGAAGCACCGGCCAACUACGUGCCAGCAGCCGCGGUAAUACGUAGGGUGCGAGCGUUGUCCGGAAUUACUGGGCGUAAAGAGCUCGUAGGCGGUUUGUCGCGUCGUCUGUGAAAUCCUCCAGCUUAACUGGGGGCGUGCAGGCGAUACGGGCAGACUUGAGUACUACAGGGGAGACUGGAAUUCCUGGUGUAGCGGUGAAAUGCGCAGAUAUCAGGAGGAACACCGGUGGCGAAGGCGGGUCUCUGGGUAGUAACUGACGCUGAG
RNAcentral lists this ribosomal RNA (680 nucleotides) under Dietzia aerolata. Its description in RNAcentral is "bacterial SSU rRNA". It matches the Rfam family "Bacterial small subunit ribosomal RNA", at positions 54 to 750 of the family's 1533-position model. The record is from RNAcentral. Lineage: Bacteria; Bacillati; Actinomycetota; Actinomycetes; Mycobacteriales; Dietziaceae.